ACGGAAGGCAGCAGUGGGGAAUAUUGCACAAUGGGGGAAACCCUGAUGCAGCGACGCCGCGUGAGUAAAGAAGUAUUUCGGUAUGUAAAGCUCUAUCAGCAGGGAAGAAAAUGACGGUACCUGACUAAGAAGCCCCGGCUAACUACGUGCCAGCAGCCGCGGUAAUACGUAGGGGGCGAGCGUUAUCCGGAAUUAUUGGGCGUAAAGAGUACGUAGGUGGUUUUGUAAGCGUGAGGUGAAAGCCUGCAGCUUAACUGCAGCGAGCCUCAUGAACUGCAAGACUUGAGUGCAGGAGGGGUAAGUGGAACUCCAUGUGUAGCGGUGAAAUGCGUAGAUAUAUGGAAGAACACCGGUGGCGAAGGCGACUUACUGGACUGUAACUGACACUGAGGUACGAAAGCGUGGGGAGCAAACAGGAUUAGAUACCCUGGUA
This 433-nucleotide ribosomal RNA is filed under the name uncultured Anaerovorax sp. RNAcentral's name for it is "bacterial SSU rRNA". It matches the Rfam family "Bacterial small subunit ribosomal RNA", at positions 341 to 792 of the family's 1533-position model. The record is from RNAcentral. Lineage: Bacteria; Bacillati; Bacillota; Clostridia; Peptostreptococcales; Anaerovoracaceae.